Molecule: ribosomal RNA, 492 nt
Filed under: uncultured bacterium
Lineage: Bacteria
Description: partial 16S ribosomal RNA
Rfam family: Bacterial small subunit ribosomal RNA
Source: RNAcentral
AGUGAACGCUGGCGGUAGGCCUAACACAUGCAAGUCGAACGGCAGCACAGUAAGAGCUUGCCCUUACGGGUGGCGAGUGGCGGACGGGUGAGGAAUACAUCGGAAACUACUUUUUCGUGGGUGAUAACGUAGGGCAACUUACGCUACUACCGCAUACGAUCAACGGGUGAAAUCAGGGGAGCUUCGCACUCUUGCCGUCUGAAAUAGACGAUGCCGGAUUAGCUAGUUGGGGGGGUAAAGGCACACCAAGGCGACGAUCCGUAGCAGGUCUGAGAGGAUGAUCAGCCACACUGGAACUGAGACACGGUCCAGACUCCUACGGGAGGCAGCAGUAGGGAAUAUUGGACAAUGGGCGCAAGCCUGAUCCAGCCAUACCGCGUGGGUGAAGAAGGCCUUCGGGUUGUAAAGCCCUGUUGUUGGGAAAGAAAAGCAGCAGGUGAAUACCCCGCUGUUCUGACGGUACCCAAAGAAAAAGCACCGGCUAACUUCGUG